CCUCUCACUCACUCUCUAUUUUAAAUUCUCACGUAUAUUUCACCGAGUUCCCAUUUUAUUAUCGUACAUUGCUUAUGACUUCUCACUUAACUUCUAUUCGCCAGUACAGAGUUAACAACUCAUAUCAAUUUCGUUAGCGCUCGUAUUAGUACCAUAUAUACAUACUAAUAAAAAUCCGGCCGUAUAUGUUACUCGUAAACGGUAAUAGAAAGAAUUAAAAAAAGGUAAAAAAAUGUCAGGCGUCAGCCAAGGACACCACCGAGACGAAUAAGUUUCGACAACCUUCGAAUUUUUUCUUCCCUUUAUACUCACACUCGAUACUAAAUUUCGCUUUGAAGAUUCCAUAAGAAACUUUAACUAACUAUACAUACGGACGCUUUCUCCAGGGAAGAUAUUACUUCAAAUUAAUUAUUACUUUCGGCAUAAUCGCCGGUGUAAUUUCACAAAGUGAUUUAUUGCUAUCCGAAAUCCGAGCGAUGAUAACAUAGUUAAUAAGUACUGGCUGGUGCUGCUUGAUGAUAUGAUGUGGAGCGAGAAUACAUGUACUGUGACCUCGAUAUAUAUUAGGCAAAUGCGGAAAUUGUACCCAAGAACCCGGGUCUGUAUGCAAAUCUAUUGGAACUGUACCGUAAUCUCGUUACAGGGCCGUGAACUCGGUGGCAUUUCUAUUAUAAUACAAAAUCAUCUGAUCCGUAUAUAAUGUAGGAUCUACUCUAGACUUUUUUUUCUUAAUAAAAAGUCUUCAUUUUUU
Long non-coding RNA from Cotesia glomerata, 751 nucleotides. RefSeq lists it as uncharacterized. Lineage: Eukaryota; Metazoa; Arthropoda; Insecta; Hymenoptera; Braconidae. The transcript is spliced from 2 exons. The record is from RefSeq and is a predicted model, not a curated record.